Molecule: ribosomal RNA, 624 nt
Filed under: uncultured soil bacterium
Lineage: Bacteria
Description: bacterial SSU rRNA
Rfam family: Bacterial small subunit ribosomal RNA
Source: RNAcentral
CGCUGGCGGCAUGCCUUACACAUGCAAGUCGAACGGCAGCGCGGGGCAACCUGGCGGCGAGUGGCGAACGGGUGAGUAAAAUAUCGGAACGUGCCCUGGAGUGGGGGAUAACGUAGCGAAAGUUACGCUAAUACCGCAUACGAUCUAAGGAUGAAAGUGGGGGACCGCAAGGCCUCAUGCUCCUGGAGCGGCCGAUAUCUGAUUAGCUAGUUGGUGGGGUAAAGGCCUACCAAGGCAUCGAUCAGUAGCUGGUCUGAGAGGACGACCAGCCACACUGGAACUGAGACACGGUCCAGACUCCUACGGGAGGCAGCAGUGGGGAAUUUCGGACAAUGGGCGCAAGCCUGAUCCAGCAAUGCCGCGUGAGUGAAGAAGGCCUUCGGGUUGUAAAGCUCUUUUGUCAGGGAAGAAACGGUGGUUCCUAAUACGGAUUGCUAAUGACGGUACCUGAAGAAUAAGCACCGGCUAACUACGUGCCAGCAGCCGCGGUAAUACGUAGGGUGCAAGCGUUAAUCGGAAUUACUGGGCGUAAAGCGUGCGCAGGCGGUUUUGUAAGUCUGUCGUGAAAUCCCCGGGCUCAACCUGGGAAUUGCGAUGGAGACUGCAAGGCUAGAAUCUGGCAGA